AUUGAACGCUGGCGGCAUGCCUUACACAUGCAAGUCGAACAGCAGCACGGACUUCGGUCUGGUGGCGAGUGGCGAACGGGUGAGUAAUAUAUCGGAACAUACCUUGUAGUGGGGGAUAACUAUCCGAAAGGAUAGCUAAUACCGCAUACGCUCUAAGGAGGAAAGCGGGGGAUCGUAAGACCUCGUGCUAUACGAGUGGCCGAUAUCUGAUUAGCUAGUUGGUGAGGUAAAGGCUCACCAAGGCUACGAUCAGUAGCUGGUCUGAGAGGGCGACCAGCCACACUGGAAGUGAGACACGGUCCAGACUCCUACGGGAGGCAGCAGCGGGGAAUUUUGGACAAUGGGGGCAACCCUGAUUCAGCAAUGCCGCGUGAGUGAAGAAAGCCUUCGGGUUGUAAAGCUCUGUUGUCAAGGAAGAAACGGUUGUGACUAAUAUCCAUGGCAAAUGACGGUACCUGAAGAAUAAGCACCGGCUAACUACGUGCCAGCAGCCGCGGUAA
Molecule: ribosomal RNA, 500 nt
Filed under: uncultured bacterium
Lineage: Bacteria
Description: partial 16S ribosomal RNA
Rfam family: Bacterial small subunit ribosomal RNA
Source: RNAcentral